RNAcentral lists this long non-coding RNA (710 nucleotides) under Olea europaea subsp. europaea. The record is from RNAcentral. Lineage: Eukaryota; Viridiplantae; Streptophyta; Magnoliopsida; Lamiales; Oleaceae.
GGAACCAUCUAAAAAUGGUUCGGGCAUUUACCGAGCAUUUCAAAGGCAAUUUCAGGUGUCAUAUAGGAUUGCUUAAAUUUUAAGUUCCAACACAAGAUUUCUACCAGCUUAUGCAAGGAUUAAUGAGUAGGAUUUAGAAUAAACCUCGUGCCUAUAGUUGUCUGAGCAAAAGGCUUGCAAACUCAUGUUUCAAAACUCGCUUCCCUGGUCGGGUUUUUGAAAAGGUCUAAGUCAGACAUUUCGUUAAACAACCUGUGUGCGAGGUUGCCUUCUUAAUUUAUGGAAGAAUUGGCAACUUCAAUGGCUUGUAAGCGUGAGAAAGUUGGUUCCAAUUAAGUCUGAAUUAAUGAAAAAGGUUACUCCCUUUUCACGUGCUGCUGCAUAUUGUCUGUUGUUCAUUGCAGGAGCUACAACUAUUGCGGGACUAUAACCGAAGUGACUAUGGCAACCUCUAGACCACACUUGCUGGUUUUAGGAUGUGAUUUUUAAUUUAAAGUCGUGAGUCCCUUGCGUUUCACCAUACGGCUGUAGGCUGCUCACCAUAGAAACCUCGACAACCUUGGCUGGAGGUUAUGAUGGCCGGUAGUUGUCUUGAUGACCUUCGCCGAAGUCUAAGCUAUCUUCGCCGGCCAUUACUGAAAGCUGGUAACACGUGCAGCUCUCUGGAAGACCUUUGCCAAAGGUUGUAGAGGGCAGCCAUGUCCUCAAGG